AGGGAGGGCGCUGCCGUCGUGGGACCCGCGCGGCGGCUGGCGUCGCCCGUGUGUCGCGAAGCGCUCGGUCGCAGGCGGUCUCCCGGCAGCGCUCGCGUGUUGGCAUCCGCGUGUGGUUUGCUGUUCACCUCCAGGCGAGCAGAAAGGAUGAACUCUUCCAGUGGCCGUUCCCCCCAGCUCUCGGGGAUGAUUCAGCACAUCCAGAAAUGCAAGUGAUUUUACUUGCCUGGGAACACAGUAACAUCUGCUCCUCUGGGUUGCGUGCAAGAUGGAUUUCCUCACGGGAGAAAAGGGUGGUUUUUCUUUUUUCUUUUUUUUUGUUUUGUUUGUUUGUUUCUCAUAAGUGUUGCUUAGCUCCGAAAGACAGCUAUAAAAACGGUACGUUUGCCUCUGCGUAGGUUAUCGGCUAAGCAGUUCCAGCUCCGACCUGCCCAUCACGCCAGCAGAUGCAGGCGGCUGCAGCUGGCAGCGCGGCGGCCGCCGGCUCCACGGGUGGGCGGCCGUGACGUCCACGGCCGGCCGGGCUCGGCGCAGCGUUGACUGCUGCUCUGUGCCGGCGGCCUCGUUCCCCUGCUCAGUGGAGGCCUGACGCUUUUUUCAGACUUCUUCUACAUCUUUGCGGAGGGCAUUUAUAUAAAUGUCCCUCUUCAGGCAUCACACRACCCUUUAAUGAACUUGCACAGACCUUUGCGCGCAUGCAAGCUGUGACCGCGUGCAUUGGCUGUUUCCUGGCAUAUCCAUCUCUGUUCGACCUGGGGCAGUGCCCUGCGAUCCCUCUGCCUGCUCCGGUCUGAGGUAAUGCGUAACAGGCUGCUAGACCAUUUAAAAAUGAUCUGCUCUACCCAUUUGCAGCUCAGACAUGAAAACCGCUGAGAGUUGAAGGUCAAGCAGUGUAGGUUCCAGCUGGAAUGAGCAGGCUAACUUUAUAUAUAUAUAUAUAUAUAUAUAUAUAACUCUGAAAUAUGCAUUCAAAGGUUACGCCUGCAAUCGCCUAGGCACAGCUG
Molecule: long non-coding RNA, 1004 nt
Filed under: Dromaius novaehollandiae (emu)
Lineage: Eukaryota; Metazoa; Chordata; Aves; Casuariiformes; Dromaiidae
Description: lncRNA (ENSDNVG00000000021.1)
Source: RNAcentral